Molecule: ribosomal RNA, 200 nt
Filed under: uncultured bacterium
Lineage: Bacteria
Description: partial 16S ribosomal RNA
Rfam family: Bacterial small subunit ribosomal RNA
Source: RNAcentral
ACGCUCGACACCUACGGGGGCAGCAGUGGGGGAAUAUUGCACAAUGGGGGGAAACCCUGAUGCAGCGACGCCGCGUGAGUGAAGAAGUAUUUCGGUAUGUAAAGCUCUAUCAGCAGGGAAGAGAAUGACGGUACCUGACUAAGAAGCCCCGGCUAACUACGUGCCAGCAGCCGCGGUAAUCUGAGGCGGGCUGGCAAGGC